UGGAGGAGAAGGCAGGUGGUAGAGCACCAGGACCCAUAAAAAGAGUAGCCCAGGGCGGGAAGGGGUCCCCUGGAGGAAUGGGAGAAAGAGUACCUGGGAUAUCUAGCAUGUAGUGCCCGGAGCAGAGCGAUGGAGAGGUGGAUGCCCAGCAGCUGAGUGGAUCACAGCUGGAGAAUCAGAGCCACAGAGCCAGAGAGGUCGCAGCACCAGUGUGAGGAGAAAGCCGGAGACCCUGUCCAGGGAGAAGGGCUGGCCGCGUCAAUGCCAGCAGGGACGGAACGUGGGGAAGUGCCGCCGCUGUCCAGAGACCUGGAUCCCGAGGAGCGGGCGGCAUGUGAUAGUCGUGCACGCACCGCGAAGGACGACCCCGGGAAGAAGACCCCAGCAAGGACCUCUGGCAGCCUGACUGGAGAGCACCGCGGCUGGAGAAGAGAGACCCCGUGAUGUCGCAGGGACUGGAACCGGAGCAGACGAGGAUACCGCGAUCGGGAGGAGACUUCUGGACAACAGCCGCCUUAACAAGAAGCGCAUCCCCGUUGCGGUGAUCUGCAUCCUGGGUGGCGCCGUAGACCAAGACUAUCUGAGGUGGCAGAAGCGCCGCAGCUUGUGCUUUUUCAUCAUUUUCCAUUCAUGUGGACUACGAAUAGUAACCUGUGCGAGGGCAGCGGUAGUGGAGUGAGGCACCAUUCUCGAAGCGUGGAAAACAUCUGGAUGUGAGCUUUGUCUGUGCGAGUUUUCGGGAUUGCAGGAAACAUUACGAAAGAGACACAGCACAGACAGGCCACAACCCACACUGCCAAGAGAUGCAGAUGCUGGUGAUGCAGGUCCUUCUUCAUCAAACACCCCUCCACUAAGACGACCAUCACAGGGCUCGGAUAGUCUCCAUAAGAUGGGUACCAAGAGACGCCGUGUUGAGGCGGAAUAUCCACCCGCAUCCUCACCACCACAACGGCGCAUCUCUACAGUGUCGUCCCAGCCACCACAAGCCAUUUUGGCCAGUCCACAAAGCGAGGAACCACAAUCCCCUCAGCUGUCUGAACCACCCAUCAUGCCCGAGGAUACCCAACACCACCCCAGCCACAAAUGGGCCCAGAGUUUUGGUCCAGUUGGGCCACACAACAGGCGCAACACUAUACCUGUCUGAACACCCACAGCCAAUACCUUGCCAGUCUGCCCCAUCAUCUGCCUAGACUCAGUCGGAACUCAGGCAGAUUGAUAGUUCAAGUUGGCAGAGUAGCAAAUUCUAUGGAGCAGAUGAGGGCAGACAACAGCCAAAUGCACGCAAAUUUACAAAGAAUCAUGGAUGACCAACAGCGGCAGCAACAAGCUCUCAUACAAAUUAUACAACAUAACCAAUUAAUAAACGAAAGCCUCUCCCGAAUCAUUGCCAACAACACUGCCGCAACUACACAACUCACAGCAAGCCUCAACAACCUGAGCCAAAGCCUAAAUGUGUUGGCAUUCCACCAACUAAUCUCAAGCUCAGGAACAACCACACCAAGCCAGACCCCAGUUACCUCCCCAGUUAGACGAUCCAGCAGAACCAGGACCAAUGAACCAUCCCAAUCCUCUGCACCCAGCAAACAAAAAACAAAGAAAUGAUCAAGGCUGCAGCAACAACUACAGUAUGUUAUUAGAAAAUUACUAAUUAUCUAAUUGAUUCCCUCAAAAUGCCUGAGUUUAAGGUAAUAAAUUAAUCAUACGCAAUAUGUGUAAUGUUUCA
Long non-coding RNA from Pseudophryne corroboree (corroboree frog), 1723 nucleotides. RefSeq lists it as uncharacterized. The transcript is spliced from 6 exons. The record is from RefSeq and is a predicted model, not a curated record. Lineage: Eukaryota; Metazoa; Chordata; Amphibia; Anura; Myobatrachidae.